GGGGAUGAAAGGCCUCGACAGUUGAGGUACUCCAUAAUACGCGAUGCAGAGCUCCGCUAACUCUUUAAUCUGGCGGAAAUCGUAACUGCAAAAUCAGUAGUUGCAAAGGCAAUGUCCAUCGUGUCUCCAUUUUAUGGAGCGCAGGAUAUUGCUCCCGCUUACGCUCUCGCUUAACCGCGGACCCUAGACGGCAUUCGGCAUCUUUCUCCGGAAAGGAUGUUCGGGUGAUAUAACCCCCGGAUAAGAUCAUGAAGCUUUCCACUUCAUGAUUCGAAAACUCAGGAAUCGCCGGCGCAUGUUUUGUCUGCUUUCAAGUGCGCUGGUUAAAAGGAGGCGACUCCGGUAAAGCUUACUAGGCAUCGUAGAAAUAUUAUGAAACUUCAUCUGCACGGCGGUUCGAAUCCGCCCAUCUCCACAG
Molecule: transfer-messenger RNA, 418 nt
Filed under: bacterium
Lineage: Bacteria
Rfam family: transfer-messenger RNA
About the family: Bacterial tmRNA, also known as 10Sa RNA or SsrA, is named for its dual tRNA and mRNA-like properties.
Source: RNAcentral